AGCCGACCAUGCCGCGCGUGAUGGACCUGUUUCAGACCUACAUGCGCGAACUGCGUCCCACCGAUCUCAACGGAUCGAUCGGGCUGUUUCGCCUGAAGGAAGAGCUGACGCGCCGCGUCAACGCGGCGAUCUCGCCCAGUCAGGUGAACGCUGUGCUGUUCAAGGAAAUCGUCGUUCAGUGACGGACGGAAGUUGAAUCAUGUCUCCGGGCGAUAACAAUGAUGUCGAUCAGGAUGCGCUAGCCGCCGAAUGGGAAGGCGCGCUGGAUUCUGAAGACCCGGCCGCGGCUGCGGCUGAGGCGGAAGCCAACACGCUCACCGAGACCAUGGCCGAGCAGUGGGCCGCCAUGGUCGACGACGGCAGCCGCAACCUUGAAAUCGGCAAGGCCGGUGGCGAGCGCGUCCUGUCGCAGGAAGAAAUCGACAACCUGCUCGGUUUCAGCGACGGCGAACUCAAUAUCGACGAGAACUCCGGCAUUCGCGCCAUCAUCGAUUCCGCGAUGGUGUCGUACGAGCGCCUUCCAAUGCUCGAAAUCGUGUUCGACCGCCUGGUGCGGCUGAUGACGACGAGCUUGCGCAAUUUCACCUCCGACAACGUCGAAGUCUCGCUGGACCGCAUCACGUCGGUCCGCUUCGGCGACUAUCUCAAUUCGAUCCCGCUGCCCUGCGUGCNUUGCGUGCUCUCCGUGUUCAAGGCCGAGGAGUGGGAAAACUUCGGUCUGUUCACCGUCGAU
Molecule: unclassified non-coding RNA, 733 nt
Filed under: Hevea brasiliensis (rubber tree)
Lineage: Eukaryota; Viridiplantae; Streptophyta; Magnoliopsida; Malpighiales; Euphorbiaceae
Source: RNAcentral